AACACCAGGAGCGGUCUGAUCAAAUAAGGGAUCAGACCACUCUUAGAAACAGAAAACAAAAGCAAACUCUCAUAGUUCGGAGCCCAGCUCCAACUACUUCUUCGUAAGUUAGGUACUUAUUUCGGUUUGAAUAGGGGGUUGCCCUUUUUUUGGUUGAAGUAGCCACGACUUUGGUCGUAGUCAGUUUAAACACAUAAACCCAGUCCACUUGCAACCAUGUUGAUCAAAAUUACUAAGUUUAAUGACUUUACCAGUCACCCGCUCUCGUAUUAGAAGAUUCUCUCACCCUGUGGUCGACAUUCCAUUCCCCUUAGUCGUAGGUGCUCGUUCUAUUUUGAUUUGAAUGGGCCGGGUCUCCCGAACGAUCAUAGUACGGCCGCUCAUCUAAUAUCAAAUCAAUGGGUAGAUCUCACUUCCCUUCCCCCCUACCAUAGCCGGAAGGGGUAGCGUAUCCACAGAAGAGAGAGUACAAGCCCUUACCUGCCGUUCGAUUGAUUGUUCUAAAGUUGAAGUCCUUUCGCUAAGUCGAAUUGAAAGGUAGGUUUUGUCAGUGAUUAAAUGGAAAGGGGGAGCGGUUCGGGCCUACUCUUGAACUUUUAGGCUAAUUAAAAGCCAAAACAAAAGCCAAAUAUCGGCAUGUAACUGAGAAAGAUGGGAUUCGGUCAACAAACAAAGGAAAUUAAAACACUCCCUUCUUUCUGUCGACAAUGAUGAAAACCAGAUCGAACUCUAAAGUAAAGCCUUUCACUUCAUUGUUCAAGCUCUUGAACAUAGGUUGAGUUCAUACAUUAUGAAUGCUUUCCUAUUCAAGACAUACUACCAAUUCCUUUGAAGCUACUACCGAAGCUGGCUUGCUUGUUUUGGUUACCGGUUGGGGUUUUGAAACCAGAGAAAGAAGAUCCGGUUGGGCUUUCUAGCGAUGGGAGAUUAGUCACCGGAAAAGAAAAGGGAACUGGGUCGAUCUAUUCUAUGGCGAAGCAUCCAAAGUCUCACGAUCACAGGUGAAGCUGGGCUACAUCCUUUACCGGGCAUCCAUUCAUUCAAAUGUCCUAUCACCAGGCACCUGAACUACCUCGAUCCGAGACGCCCAAUUCCCCUCCUUCCGACCUGGCUAGCCGCACAACUUAUACUGGUAUGGCUGGUCCGGAAAUGCCAAUUGAUUCGGUACGAUCUGGUGGAUUCUUUCCCCUUGAUUCCACCUCUACUUCCACGGCGGAGUCAAUCAAUCUAUCGAAGCGACUCACACUCAUCCCUUGGCGCCUCUCCUAUUCGUGCAAAGGGGCGGCUACUGUGAGAUGUUCCAAUUCGUUAUCCCGUCAAUAGCUGCUUGCUCUGGCUGGGUUAUUUCCUUCCCUGCCGAAGCGUACCUUCCAUUCUUCAUCAAUAACCAAGCACUAGCACGGAGAUCCAAUGCGACCCGCUUCCUUCACUUUCAAGGAGACUCGCCGCUGUGCUUGAAGCGCUAUUGCUUAUCCCAAAACGUCAACUCGGGUGGGCUAGCCACAUUAGUUGCACUCGCUGGCAGGUCCGGGAGUCGUCAUUAAAUUCCUUAUCCCGAGCAGGGCGAAUGAUCUCUUUUGACAAGGUAUCCGAAAGACCUUGAUCAUAGGUGAAGCUGCUCAGCUACCUCCGGGCAUCCGCCCAAUGCAAAAUGCAAGAAGACCCAUUGCUCAGUCAUAGAUGAAGCUCGGCUAUUUAUGCGGAUGGACGUACCUCGGACUUCCUUUCAAUUGAUUGAUUCGGGAAGGGCACAAUCCCCUUUUGUCGAGGGAUAUGCGUUAAGAGCAUAUAGCUUGGUCGGCAUUUCCUUCUCAAUAAAGCCUGUUGUCCUGCCCGGCACAGAGCCUGUAUGGAGCUCCGUAUUCCUCUAGGCAUUCCUUCAGGCGCAAGUCUAUCGAUGUUCACCUACGCAAUUAGAUGGGAUCCCUUGCCAUCAGCUACCAAGCAAUAAUAUCUAUGCGAUCCAUCCGUCCGUCUGCCCCUAGGCACGGUAGUUCUAUGCCGCAUACAGGAGUCACCUAGUGAGCCUAGUCGAAUCAGAAUCAUCAUAGAGAAAGAAUACUUUUCGAAAGAUUCUAAAAUUACAUAAGAGAAGAAAAGAAAACGAAGCUCAGACAGCAUAAGAUCAGCAGAAGUGGGAGAAGGGGGAAUUUUCGAAGAAACGAUACAAUCAAUACAUUUCUCUCCCUCCUCUCUAUAUUCUCCGAGAUUUCAUUGGGUUACGAAGGAGCUAAGAUUCGGCUAGCUUUUAGCUUGGAGUGGAGUAGCCAGGAAGAGGCACCGAGGGAAAACUCGACCGGAAGAUCCGCUAACCUAAGCGCCCACGAAGAGAGAUUUCGAAUACUGAACUAAGUAGGUAGUAGGCCUUCAACCAAUCUACUUUUUUUCGUUUUUUUCUUUUUUAAAAAAAGAAAU
Molecule: long non-coding RNA, 2415 nt
Filed under: Panax ginseng (ginseng)
Lineage: Eukaryota; Viridiplantae; Streptophyta; Magnoliopsida; Apiales; Araliaceae
Description: long non-coding RNA (PGIN_LNC005001)
Source: RNAcentral